UGGCCACCACCUUCAGCUGGAGGAACCAACAAAGCGGUUAACGUUCUGACGAGGCUCCAGCUCAGCCAGGAGGUCCUGGGUUCAACGCCCAGGGUGGACCUGGAUCUUCAGCCUUCAUGUUCUCCGGCUACUCUGGCUUCCUCCCAGCGUCCCAACACACACCUGUCAGCUGCUGAGAGCGUGUCCAGGUGUGUCUGAGUGGGCGUGUCCAAGACUUCCUGCAAGGAGCCGGAACCCGGAGGAGGAAGAUGGAUGUUUCUGCGCUCACUGAGCGGUACAGGAGCUGCAGAGAGAAGCAGAGGACAGAGCUUCAGCUGGUCCAGACAGACUGCAGAGACCUGCUUGGCCCCAUCAGAACCGUCCCCAUCAGAACCGUCCCGGUUGCCCAGGGUUGGACGUCGCCAUGGGAACCAGGUAGCCCCUCCCCCCCUGUUGUCUCUCUGGAGUCUGACCCGAAGAUGUCCGACCCGUGGCACGACCACCUGGACCUCCACAGGCGGGCGGAGGCGAGGAGCUGCAGAUGUUCCGGUUCUUCAUCCUCAGAGGUCAGCACUGCAACGUUCUCCGUGUCAGAUCGUCUCUGCAGCUCAACAACACCUUCCAUCAGUGAGGAACAUCCAGUCCGUACCGGUUCUGGUUCUGGUUCCUCUGAUGGAUCCACCAAAGGUUCCUGUGGAAGUUGCCGGCUGGAUGAGGCUCCUGGUUCUGCGGAUCCUCCUGACGGCUCCUCCAGGAGAACCACAGAGAGGGUUGAGCCAGAGAACCGUGGCUCAGGGUCCAGUUCCACCCACCGUGACCAGAACCAGGAGAUGGACCGGUCUCCAGGGACUGGAGCUGUCAGAUCAAGCAGAACCUGCCAGCACCUCCCGGGUCCGUCCUCCAGGUUCUCCCAGCAGCUGAGUGCAGAACCAUCCUGUCAGAACCACUACCCGUUCCCCAGCAGGAGAACCCCGAGGAGAUCUGAGGCUGCCAGGAGGCUGGGUCUGUACUCAUCCUUCUGAAGUUCUGCAGAACCCUGCUGGAACCCACCAGAACAAAGAGAACAUGUCAGAAAAGCUCCUGGUUGGUUAUUAGUCAUCUUGUUCCGUCUGGACCUGUGCAGAUCCAGGUUCUCCUAACCUCCAGCACCUGGUUCUAAGCUCAGGUUUUAGUGGAUCUUUAGAAGGAAAAUCUCAUUAAAUAAUCAGAAGAAAUGUAAAAACACGUUAAUUAUUGUCACAUGUUCAAAGUAAAGCACCAACAGUAAA
Molecule: RNA transcript, 1247 nt
Organism: Fundulus heteroclitus (mummichog)
Lineage: Eukaryota; Metazoa; Chordata; Actinopteri; Cyprinodontiformes; Fundulidae
Gene name: TBC1 domain family member 30
Exons: 4
Source: RefSeq, a predicted model, not a curated record